ACCAUAUUCUUUACAUGGCAUACUUCUUUUCCUGAUUCAUGACACAUAGGCUCAUUGACGCCUCUUUCUAAGUCACAACCCAUUUUUAACAUAUUGCUCAGACUAAAGAGAUAAGCCAAUCAAGACAUAAGAGGUAGGCCCCAGACGUUCAAAGUCGAUGAUUUUUAUAUUUGUUACAGUGACUUUUGCUUUUCUUUUCUUUUUUAAUUUACUUUUUAAUUUACUUUUUAAUUCAAUUUUUUCUUAUUUUUUAAAAACAAAAUUAAGCGGUGCCAUUUUUAUUUUCGUGUAAAAAUUUUCAAUCUACUUUAUGUCAAAGUAGCAUUGUUGAUCUUUCACGGAUUGAUCCCACUGAUUGCAGUGUUGUGAAGCAGAUUGGUGUAGAAAAUAUUCACAACAUUUGUUUAGAAACUAUCGGCUUAGAAGCAGCUACGAGGUAUGCAAUGUGUUAAAUAAAAGAAAUGGCAAUUUUUUCAAUUCUGCAAAUGAAAUUCUAUCGAGCCAUUGAGUUUCUGAAAUAAACUAGUCAAAAUAUACAGCUCAUUUUGCUUGUACAUGUACACAUGGUCAGCAUGUAUCCUGAUAUAUGUUUUCAUCCCAUGUAUAUAAUAUGUAUCUAGCUAGCUUGUCAACACUGUUUUAAUGAGCAUAUAAUACACAGGGAAGCAUCAGAGAACGCAGCGGUAGGUUUCAAGAAAUUCAGCAAUUCCAGAACAGUAAGUAAAUUUCACCACCUGGCCCUUCUGCAGUCCGUAGUAUCGAGCAAACGCAUCAGUUUCCAGCAUUCGAGGGAGCUGAAAGACAAGAUAAAAAUAGAGGUAGGUUGGUGUUCUACUUUGAUCAAUCAUGCAACAAAACUUAUGAGCAGUUACAUAGACAAACGAACACUGUUAUAAAAAAGAAUCCACCAUAUUCUUUACAUGGCAUACUUCUUUUCCUGAUUCAUGACACAUAGGCUCAUUGACGCCUCUUUCUAAGUCACAACCCAUUUUUUGCAUAUUGCUCAGACUAAAGAGAUAAGCCAAUCAAGACAUAAGAGGUAGCCCCCAGACAUUCAAAGUUGAUGAAUUCAAUUGCGAACUAUCAGACGUAUAGGCCAUAUUUCAUUUAUAAUUUCAUGCCCAGAAAAAAUUUCCACGUAGCUGAAGUUCAUUUAUGCAGCCUAAGCUUGCAUUACAUGGUUGAGCAGAUUACUUAGCUCCAAAGCGUCCUAACAAAAUUCUACCUGGCUUAAUAUAUUAAUUAAUUAGAUAUCGUAAGCUCAACUUUAAUCUUAAGUUGUGUCCAAUAAAACUGAGCUAACAACUUCUAGACAUCUUUUCUCAUUAGUUCUAUGUCCAUAAACCACCAGUACUACCGCACACUGACUCUCAACUGCUGAGUUAUAGACAUGAAGAAAUCCAAAUAUUCAGCCAGAUGGAAUUAGCAAGGGACUGAGCAGAUGGGAACUCCAGUCAUGAACCAAAGGUCAGCAAAAGGACGUUCAUGACAAGAUGCAUCGGUCAAUGGCACUGGCCUAAAUUGCAGCAUUUGAUUAUUAAAAACAGAACCCUUGAGUUUAAACCAGCGAACUACAACUUAUGGCCAAUUUGAGUACGCAAAAAAUCCAACAAAUUGAUCACUUCUUUGCUUCCUUUUUCCUUUUCUGCAACCGGCAUUCUAAUUGAACAAGUUAAUCAUCAACAAAUGGGCUUUGAAUAUCAACAAUGGGAUGGACGGUAAGAAAUUUAAAAGGGAGUUACUCCAAGACAGAGAAAAACUUCCACACGUCAACUUAAGUAAUGGCUUCCAUUUGUUAAUGAUCCCAUACCCCAAGAACUUUUUCCAUCAAUAGUAUGCAUAUGAAUGUAGAGUCAUUAAAUUUAUGAACGUCAAAGGAUGCAUUUAUUGUNN
Molecule: long non-coding RNA, 1893 nt
Filed under: Citrus sinensis (sweet orange)
Lineage: Eukaryota; Viridiplantae; Streptophyta; Magnoliopsida; Sapindales; Rutaceae
Description: long non-coding RNA (CSIN_LNC005317)
Source: RNAcentral